GAUGAACGCUAGCUACAGGCUUAACACAUGCAAGUCGAGGGGUAACGAGAGGAAAGCUUGCUUUCCUUGUCGACGACCGGCGCACGGGUGAGUAACGCGUAUCCAACCUGCCCCCAACUAGGGAAUAACCUUGCGAAAGUAAGACUAAUACCCUAUAAUUUCCUCAGAUGUCAUCUGACGAGGAAUAAAGAUUUAUCGGUUGUGGAUGGGGAUGCGUCUAAUUAGCUUGUUGGCGGGGUAACGGCCCACCAAGGCAACGAUCAGUAGGGGUUCUGGGAGGAAGGUCCCCCACAUUGGAACUGAGACACGGUCCAAACUCCUACGGGAGGCAGCAGUGAGGAAUAUUGGUCAAUGGGCGGAAGCCUGAACCAGCCAAGUAGCGUGCAGGAUGACGGCCCUAUGGGUUGUAAACUGCUUUUAUACAGGAAUAAAGUUAGCCACGUGUGGUUAUUUGUAGGUACUGUAUGAAUAAGGACCGGCUAAUUCCGUGCCAGCAGCCGCCGUAA
This 506-nucleotide ribosomal RNA is filed under the name uncultured bacterium. RNAcentral describes it as "partial 16S ribosomal RNA". It matches the Rfam family "Bacterial small subunit ribosomal RNA", at positions 28 to 523 of the family's 1533-position model. The record is from RNAcentral.